Non-coding RNA from Phrynosoma platyrhinos (Desert horned lizard), 73 nucleotides. The record is from the annotation of a GenBank genome assembly. Lineage: Eukaryota; Metazoa; Chordata; Lepidosauria; Squamata; Phrynosomatidae.
GCUAGUAUAGUAUAGUGGUUUGAGUGUUGGAUUAGGAUUCUGGAAGACCAGGGUUCAAAUCCCUGUUCAACCA